AUCAGGCAAUGACCAUGUAAAUUGGUUUGUUGGAGCAUACAACCAUUGUAAUGAAAGCGAUGUGCAUCCAGACAAGUUGUUGAGAAAAUCAGGAAAUUUGAUAACACCAGAGUUGUUAUAGAAGUAAAAACGUUCCAAACUACAGAGGUUACCAAGAUAUUUGGGUAUCCCAUCUAACAUGUUGCCAGAGAGAUAAAAUCGGACUAGGCUAUUGCUGGUUAAUGGGAACAACCAAUGAUACAUGGACGAGGUGAGAUUGUUGUCUCCAAGAAUAAGGUAUUUAAUAGAUGAGGAAGAAGAGUUGAUAAUUUGUGAAGAAUAUGGAUAAAUGACCUGUGACAGCUCACAUCCCGAUAAACUUAAAACAGAGAGUUUACGGAGACUGAGAAUAACAUCUACCCAAUGAUUUGUUUUGGCCAGUGAAAUCCCAUCCAUUGCAAGUCCCUCCAGAUGAGAUAGAGGAGACAACCAGUCUAGGUUCUCAACUCUACACCUUCCAACCUCGACAAGGUAAAGCACUUGCAAGUUGGUGAGGUUUCCAAACUCUGGAGGAAUGGCUCCAUAAAGAGAAUUAGAUGAAAGGUCAAGGUAUUUUAAUUCUGUCAAGGAACCGAUGGACAUGGGAAUGGUUCCAUUAAGAUUAUUGAAGCCAAGGUGAAGGGACCUUAAUUGAGUCAACGAACCAAUGAUCGCAGGAAUGGUUCCAUGAAAAGAAUUGUAGGAAAGAUCAAGAUAAUUCAAGUAGGUUAAGUUAACCAAUGAAUGGCUAAUCUCACCUACAAGACCACAGGACAUCAGAUCAAGCUCUGUGACAUGACCACCUGUUUGGUUGUUGCAUGUUACUCCACUCCAUUGACAGCAGUUGUCUUGUUCAGCUGUCCACAUAGAGAGACGAUCAGAAGGGUCUUGAAGGAGAGAUUUGAAAUGAAGGAGAGAAUAUUUCUCCUUCUCAAAACACUUCUUCCCAACAACAUUUUCAUCUCCUCCUCCCACUGCUGCCAAUUGGUUGGCAGCUGCAGUCUCAAGACAUAGCAAGAGAAGUGAGAAUAUCAUAAAAACACAAGGAUGCAUGAUGUAAAUGCAAAUCUUAAUUGGUGAUUUUUUUUGUUUGUAUUAAUGAAAAUUUGAAGAUGCCCUAUGCAAGUUUAUAUAGUGCCAACUUUGAAAAUGAAGGAUUUAAGUGGAUGGCGUCAACUACAGGCCUAAAAAAUAAUAAAUUCUGUUUUUUUUUUUUUAAAUAGUAGGAACAAAGUCUUUUUUUUCCUUUUAUUUUUAUCAAUAUGGAAGCAUUAUUUUCAUCUUGUGAUAUCUUUUGGUCCUCAUCUUAUGUCAUACAAAUCCCAAAAAACAAACUAACAAAAUCAAAUACACAAAUCAUUUAGGAAAAAGCACAAAUGGUAAAUAGGUAAUGAAUUAGUGCCUGGAAACAUUAUGUGUCUUUUGGCUUAAUAUGUUAUGUCAAAAAGAAACAACCAUAUAUAGUUAGCUUUCCAGAUCAAGGGCUUAAUUUAUUAAGCCUAUUAAGUCAUAAAGAAUCAGCCCCUAAGGGCCUAAGUGCUGAGUGAUAAAUGAUGAAUCUCCAGAGAAUGUAUUGGAUAAAAUAACGCUAAUUGUUUUUGUAUUUUGGAUUAAAUGAACCAUUCGAAUAAGAGAAAAUGACCAUUUUACCCUUAUUUAGCAGGUUGUUUGUUUGAGAAUUAUUGUAAUGUGAAACUAAAAAUCAGUGUGAUGCGACCAUUAGACUUAAAUAUGUUUGUCAAAAACAACCAUAACUGUCCUGUAAUUAUUUUGUACAGAUAGUGCAAGACCUUUUUCAAAGCAUUAUUUCCUAAACAACAAAUCAGAAUGUAAACGAGUUGUUAUAUCCAGAAACAUUGAAUUAAACACUAAUUUAACGAGGAUUCAUGCAUAUCAUAUUCCCGUCAGUUAUUAAACAACUUCUAUUUAUGUCUAAUUGAGACAAUUCUUCCAAUCCUAUGCAGAUUUAAUCUCUUAAACAGAUUUUUGAUACCAUUUAGAAAAGUUCCAACUUCCAACAUAAACAUUAACCCAGAAACAACUCUAAUUUAUGGAAUCAAUUGAGGUUUUCUCAAUGGAAACAAAAAGGCACCGUUCCGUUAAAACUAAAAAAAAUUAAGGAAAAAAAAAAGAAACAGAGAAACAUCAGUCAACAGAAAAUGGUGAAGAGAGAGAGAGAGAGAGAGAGAGAGAGAGAGAGAGAGAGAGAGAGAGAUGAUCGAGAAUGAACAGCUGAGAUAGUCCAACAACUUACCUGAUGGAAGAGACCGAGGGAGGAACGACGAAGAUGUUAGGUAUAUGUUGCUUUCACAUGGUUAGUGGACAACACAAAAGAGUCACCUAUCAAUUGGCACACAAAAGGAAUAAUAGGCACUAAGAAGUAAGAAACUCCAACGGACCACUAUUAUUAUUAUUAUUAUUAUUAUUAUUAUUAUUAUUAUUAUUAUUAUUAUUAUUAUUAUGGGAUAGAGGCCCAAAUCACUCCAAUGGCACGCCAAAUGAGACGCUACUUUUAUGUUGAAAAUAAUAGGCACUAAGAGAACUCCAUACGAGACCACUAUUAUUAUUAUUAUUAUUGCGGGAUAGAGGCCCAAAUCACUCUAAUCACAUGCCAAAUGAGACACUAAUUUUGUGUUGAAACUAAUAGGCACUAAGAGGACUCCAAAGGACCACUAUUACUAUUAUUGUGGGAUAUAGGCCCAGAUCACUCAUGCCAAAUGAGACACUAAUUUUGUGUUGAAAAUAAUAGGCACUUUAGAGGACUCCAACGGACCACUAUUACUAUUAUCGUGGGAUAGAGAAUCGCACGCCAAAUGAGACACUAAUUUUGUGUUGAAAACUUUUGGCCUUUAAAUAUGGUGCUCACUCAAUUACUACACAAAAUCAUUUUUACAUUAUAACUUAGGGUUAAUGACUUAAAAGGGUAAUUAAGUUUCAAUUUUGUACAAAAUACACCAUUGAAGUAUAUCAACCAACUUAAAAUAUCGUUUACAUAAUACCAUCUUAAUUGACUUUUCUUUCUUAUAUUCCAUUGUGUAACUGGUUCUACCGAUUAUGAGGUAAAGAUGACUUGAAAAAAAUCAACAAUUACCGUUCAUCGUCCUCUCCAUCUUCGGAGCGGGGCGGAGACAGUAGGGGGGCUGUCGGAUGUUUUGCCCCCCUCAAUCUCUUUUAAAAAGAAUAGCUCUCUUAUAUAUAAAAUAAGCCUAUGAGUAAAUAUUUAUCCCACAUCGGUAACUAUUAAAGUAAGCCCUUCUCAAUUAUUUUUAUAAAAGCAAUUGUUUUAUGUGAAAAGUAUGAAGUUGUGAGAAUUAUGACUAAUUGAGGCGCACAUAAAAAAUGACACUCCCUCUGCUCCAAAUAUUUUUAUUUUAAUAGGCUAUUGAUUUUAUACCUUAUUAAUGUCAACUAGAUGGGUAUCCCCGCGAUGCAGGGAUUCGAAGGUAUUUUUUUGUAAAGUACAUUGCUAAUCUCUUGAAUUCAUCUAUUUAACUAUGUUGGACUGAUAAGCAAUGCACCAUUAUCAAACGUGGCACUCGAUUGCUUUUUACCUACAAUUUCUUUAAAAACUCUGAAACAAUGCUGAAGUUGGUAUAAAUAUAAAAUGCAAGAAUCCUAUCAUCUAUUUUAAAAGUAGUAAUCUAGGAUCCUUAUUUGUAACAAAUCAAAGAUUCCUAAUUACAUAAAUAGUCCCUGUAAUUACAACAUUGGAACUAUUGUUUUAAGCAGCAGGCGGAUGCCACUUUCUAAUCUAGCUAAUCCCUACAGAUGUACAACAGCAACUUUGAACAGAUUAUGUAUCCUAUUGCACUUUCUUCUCUGUUAAACCUUCGUCCACUUUAGGAUUCUCAGUAAAAAAAAACAAAAAAUAGAAUUCUAUGAAAUGCAAUGCUAUAUCAAUGUACUUUACCAUUGUUUCACAUGUGGAGAUCAGGUGUAGACUCUAAAAGUUGCAUCAUGUAGAUAUGAAUAAUUAAAAAAAUAGUGGAAAUUAACAUGAUAUUGACCAAACUUUGGUUUUUUGAGUUAUUUUUAUGUUUAUCUGCUCCUUUGAGUGAAUUCCAACAACAUCCUUUGCAUUCCUCCUACCAAUGUAUUCAUUUCUUUCACCUACUCCAUGUAUCUGGUAGUAAUUUUACCCAUUCAGACAAUAAAAUAAGUUUGGAUCUCCCAGUUUGUAUCUUUUUAAAUAAGAAAAUAAAGCAAAGAUAUGGAGAAGAAGAUAUAGUGUCGGAUCACCCAAUUUGCAUGAAGAGCUUCCAUUAGUUCAUCCACUAUUGAAAUAUAUUCUUGUCCUUCCAACCUUCAUUCUCGUAGCCCUAAAUCUGUCAAUUAAAUUACAAGAAGGUCAUUAGUUAAAAGUGUGCUAUGACUCUAUAAAGAAACGAUAGAUAACAUAAAUCACAAAGUUUUGUGUGUAUGAAAGUUGUAAAUAAAAAUAAAUUUAAGUUUUGACUUAAAAAAUCAUACCCUUUGUGGAUUAAUACAUAUAAAGUUUCCGAAUUAGAAUACCAAUUUCCUGAACUCCAAAAUCACCUAACCCAACUAUACGAUUGCCAUCUCUCAGCACCAUGAUGUCCACCUCAUUUGCUUUAAAUUUAGUCAACUAAAAAUUGCUAUAAUGCAAAAUGGCUUAUUUGACCACUUAUGUUAAAAAGGGAUCAUUGAAAACAUAUAACCUCAUGAGCUGUCCCAUUUUAAAUUAAUGACAUCAUCUCUCUAUCUUUUGCACUAAAGUACAUUCCACUUGGACGCUUAAACAAUCCUGAAUAGUUUUGGCAUUCAACUCGCCGGAAACCAGGUCGUCGACUUUACAGGUGUAUCUGCACCCUUUCUCUUGUAUCUGAAAUAAGAAAACUGGAAUAUCCAUUAAAAAAAUUUAAUGAAAAGAAUUGAAUUGAAAAUUUUGUUAAAUGACCCAAACGCCCUUUAAUGGAUUUUUUUAAACAAAAUUCUACUUAUGGAGGAUCAAAUGGGGCCUUCUCUACCAAAAUCCAUUCAAAUAGCUAUCUUAAGUCAUGCUUACUCUGCAACAUGAAUCAGAGGAUGAAUUAGCGCAAACAAACUGAAGCUUAUGAAGCAUUAAACUUUUAAAAUCCACAUUGUUGUUUGUAUCCAAAGAUGUCAAAGGGUUAUAUGCAUGGAAUAGCAACCUACUUUAGGCAAUAUAUUUGUUUUCACAGAAUGCCUAUAUACUUUACAUUUUGUUUGUAUUUUUAUUGUUUUACACAAAAUAACAACAUAAUUUAGAUUUCAUCAUGUUAGUUCCUUGAGGCAUGUUGCCUAAAAUUAACAGAAAAAGUAGGGGUGCAAACGAGNNNNNNNNNNNNNNNNNNNNNNNNNNNNNNNNNNNNNNNNNNNNNNNNNNNNNNNNNNNNNNNNNNNNNNNNNNNNNNNNNNNNNNNNNNNNNNNNNNNNNNNNNNNNNNNNNNNNNNNNNNNNNNNNNNNNNNNNNNNNNNNNNNNNNNNNNNNNNNNNNNNNNNNNNNNNNNNNNNNNNNNNNNNNNNNNNNNNNNNNNNNNNNNNNNNNNNNNNNNNNNNNNNNNNNNNNNNNNNNNNNNNNNNNNNNNNNNNNNNNNNNNNNNNNNNNNNNNNNNNNNNNNNNNNNNNNNNNNNNNNNNNNNNNNNNNNNNNNNNNNNNNNNNNNNNNNNNNNNNNNNNNNNNNNNNNNNNNNNNNNNNNNNNNNNNNNNNNNNNNNNNNNNNNNNNNNNNNNNNNNNNNNNNNNNNNNNNNNNNNNNNNNNNNCUAAAUAAGUUUAAGCUCGGCUCGAGCUCGUUAAGAAGCUCGUUUACUAAUACCCUAAAUCCGUAAUUCCUCUAAUAUAUUUUUAUUUUAAUAUAUAUAAAUAAUAAUAAAUUAUAUUAUAUAAAGGCUCGUUCAGGCUCGCGAGCCUAAUCGAGCUUAAUGACAUAGGCUCGAGCUCGAGCUCGUUUAAUAAACGAGCUUAAUAUUAAGCUCGAGCUCGACUCGGGCUCAUUUAAAAUCGAUUUCGAGUCGAGCUUUUAAUGAUCCGAUCCCGAGUAGCUCGCGAGUAGCUUGGCUCGUUUGCACCCCUAAGAAAAAGGGUGCAUUGCUUAAAUAAAUAUUGAAAAGGGUGUGAUGCAUAAGAUAGGAAAUGACCUAAAGUGGGUUAAUAUUAUGUGCUAGAAAGUUUUUACAAAUCAAAAUAUUUAGGAAGUAAAUGAUACCCUAAGGAAUAGAAAUACCAUUACCUGAAAAUAAUCCAUCCAAGUGAUAUUGCUUUUUGAAUUCCUUAAACAUUUGAAUUGUUUUCUAGAUUUUUAUAGUUUUAUAGCAUAUUCUCUUAUUACAUUUUUCAAGAUUUUAUUACUUAUUAGUAUAUCUAUCGAAAUGGCAGUUCUUAUCAGUCACACAAAUUGUUACAAAUGGGUCUUUUUGUCAAUGUAUUAAGCGUACUUACGUAUUUUUUAGAUAUUAUUGUUACAAACUCAUUACUAUUCUUGUCUAAACCCUAAACCCUAAACAAACAACAAUACAUUUUCCAUAAUAACAAAUAUUCAGGUUAACAUCAAAAUAGCAGAAGAAAUUAACUACCUGGCUAUAAUUUCUGAAACUGGACAACCUUUUUCCUUUAAUUUCAAACCCUAGGCAACAAAUUGUUGAAGAGGAUGAUGAUGAUUCUGCUCUUCAAGAAGGAAUUCAGAUCACGAACAAAAAAUAUAGAAGUAUGAAGUUAAAACCAAAAAUUUAUAUAUUGUUUAUUUGUAUUAAAUCAUGCACUCUUCUUCCUUAUUCGAGCGAGGAGGUGUUGAAGAAGUUAGUGCCGAGUCGAAAUGCUUCACGAACGGUGGCGAUGGCUUCUUCAUUGGAGACAGGAAGCCUGAAAUCCUUCUUGAUUUCCAAUCGGAAGCCGCUAGGUUAAGAAGACCAUGUGGAUUCUCUUAGCACUUAAUUGGAUGAGAACGGCGGUGAUGAAUGGGCGUGUGGAGAUCAGUGAAUCGGCGCACAAAGGAAAGAUGGACAUCAGUCAAAUGACAGUGAUGAAAAAUUGUUGUCGUUUGAUUUAUGGAGGCAAAUGCAAAAAUCAAACCUGACACCGACUAUUAAGAAGGGAUAAAAUGAAGAAGCAGAAGGUAGACUAUGCUGGAGCUAAUGGCGGUGACACCACCAACCUUGGUUAUAAACCCGACAAUGACAUCAAACGUCAACCUACACCAUCAAUUUAGAGCAGAAACAUCAACAUGCGUCUAGGUUUCCUGAGGUUGGAGCGGUGGGAAGCAUGGAGAAGAGCAAGAUAACCUGAUAGAAAAUAGUGGAAGCGUUAGAUGGAGAGAGAUAGUCAAAGAUAUCUAUGGAGUUACUGGGUGAUAAUACGUGGAGUACCGGUAUUGUAUCGUAGAGACGGUGUAUCAUGGGGAGGACACGUAGCACCGACGAAGAGUGAAGAGGGAAGGAAAGAAUGAGACGUAUCAACGGUACAAUGCAGAUGAACAGGGACUAAAUUGCCAAUAUGACAAACUCUUGUGGCAAAAUCCUUAACCAAUGAAAAUAUGUAAAGUUGUGGACCAAUUUUGUCAAAUCCUUAGCCACUUUACUGUAGCUAAGGAUGGACAAUUUUAAUAUAUAUAUAUAUAUAUAUAUAUAUAUAUGUGUGUGUGUGUGUGUGUGUGUGUGUGUGUGUGUGUNUAUUGAAGAUUCUAUAUUGUUAUUUAAUUUAAUUCUCUAAUCAAUAAAAACCAAAUUUUGUAAACCUUAUUAUACAUUUUAUUUUUUUGUAACUUGUAAUUAAUAAUUUAAUUAUAAUUGAACUUAAAGUCAGAUACUACUUUGUAUAUUUUUAUAAAUUUUAUUUAAUUGCAUUCUUCUAAAAUGGAAAAUAAUAUGAUAUUAUUUGUUUCCUAACUUGUUCUUUUUAAUAGUAAUAGGUUAAUAGAUAACAAAUAUGAUUUUGAUAGUUUGAAAAUUUUAAAGAUUGUUUUUUACAAAGAUGAAUAUAGUUCCUAUUUAAAUGAAUUUUUUUCUGUAUCAAUUUCUUUUUAAAUUAUACAUACUCUAUUAUUAUACUCUAUUGUGAUAUUUGGAUAUAAAAAUAUUUCAAUAUCUAAUUACAAUAUAAGCCCCUCUUAUCCUAAAAUUGUGACUCCGCCCUUGUCCAUCUCUUCCUGGCUUCCGUUCCAGGUCUAACCGGAGACCUGCUGUACCUCCCCCUUGCGCACUGCCUUUUUCGAACCGACAUCCAAAUGACCCCUCGCAUGCUACUGUUCAUCGUCCUCUCCAUCUAAAAACCUGCAACAAAAAUCAUAAAAGGAACCAACAAAAAAAAUGCUUCUGCUCACUGACAAGUCGGAACCACCUCUUGUUACUUUGCUUUGCUCCAAGAAACAUCACCAAACUAACCCAUUUUCCAGCCCCUAUCGGGAUGCCUUUUUCCAGCCAUAUUCAAACCUCAGUCACCCUCGCAACCUCCUCUUCUCGCACCACCUCCAAACAAACUUGCACCGCCUCUAAACAAACUCACAUGCUGCCUUCUUCGUUUCGGUCCAACUAGAGACCUUGAAAUCCACGGGAUACUACCUUUAAAAACUCGAACACCAUCACCACCUCUUACCUGUUUUACCCUGAAUCAUCAAGAACCGAAGCUACUGUUCAUCUUUUCCAAUCGAAACCUUGAACAAAAAGAAAAUACAAGAGAAUCCAAAUAUCAACUGUUCAAUCUUUCUCUGCUGCUUCUUUCAUCGUCUUUACCGAGAACCCAACACUCGGAACCACCAUCGAAAACCACCUCACCACCAUCGAACCUACCUACUGUCACCACUCUUUUUCGUCGCCACCACUUCGUCGGUUCCAGCAGAGACCCCGAGACUUCCUUAGCAGCUCCUUCCCUUCGGUUCCAAACUAACCCAUCUUGAAAAAAUGGUCUUUGGGGAUGGCUUUUUCCAGCCAUACCCAAGUUACAUUAAUUCCAUGUAGUAUACUAAAAAGCCAAAGUAAGUGUUAUUUUUUUUCCCCGGUAAACUAUACCUCAAAAUCGGCGGAACCAGUUAAACAAAGUAACAGAGGAACAAAAAGUCAAUUUAGAUGGUAUUGUGCGAACCAAAUCUUAAGUUCAAUGGUAUUCUGUCAACAGGAUACACUUAAAUGGGUUCAUUGGUUGUCAAACCCUUUCCUAGAUUUGUUUUUGUAAUUUUCUAGCUUGCUAGUGGUUCUUUAUAAAAUUCAACUAUUCAAAAAAAAAAAAGAUUAAUCUUGAAGAAGAUGUGGCACACCGCACAUAACAUCAAUACAAAGAGUUACAAUUUCAUCAACCUAUAAUGAAGUUAUGUCAUAAAAAUUUGAUGGAAAUCAAAAGUGAUAGUGGAAUUAAAGCUUGAAUGGACUGAUUUUCCACACUUGAGAGAUGAGUCUCUCCCAAACACUUGUUACUGAUUAUAAAAUGACCAAAUGAAUCUAAUAUUACCUGAUUUUCUUCCUUUUGACUUAUUUAACUUGGACUUUCCUGAUUGACUUCUUAGGCUGGAGGGAGUGACGCCACCGAAACCGCACUCUCUUCACCAUCACAUAAGCGCUACGUCACUUUUUACCACACAAGUGUGGUUUCUUGCCACACCAAGGGAGUGGUGCCAUAAUUUUAUUUUUAUUUUAUUUUUGUUUUUUUUUAACUAUUUUAAUUUAAUAAAACUUAUUUUUUAAUAAAAAAAAACAUUAUUUUAAAAAUAUAAUAUUUCAUUAAUUAAAAAUACAAAUAUCAUACAUUGCUUAACUUAAAAAAAACCUAAAAAUUUAGAAAAACAAAUUAGAACCAUAAAACCUAUAACUUAUUAAAAAAACAUACACACACCAAAUGAUUAAAAACUUGAAAAAAAAACUAGAAGUUAGCCACGAUUUGCGUAACGUUUUUUCACUUUCUCCUUCAUCGUCAAAAUAACUUGAAGCUCGUCCCCGGUCAUAUUCGACGUGUCCAACGAUAGUACUCGCAUGUUGUUGUCCCUUUGUUUCCAAAGCUCUCUUUCAGAAGCAAUUUGCAAAAUCUUGUCUAUUCUAUCUUUUAUACCCUUCAUGUCCGCCCCCAUUUCUUUCAACUCAUCUGAAUUCGACAUUUUGCCUUUUCUUUUGCUUUUUUGCUUUGUCUCUUCCCAUUGGUCGGGAAGAUGGUGAAACUGAAACACGUUCAUCUUCGUUCAAAUCAAAUUGAACACGAGCAUCUGAUAUAGUGUGGUCGAACUCAAAUGUUCUGCUGCGUUUUGAACCACUGUCGAUAUGCCCGUAUGAUGUUUUGCAACUUUGCCAUUUCUUAUUAUCUUUCACAAAAUUCCAAACUUCAAGAAACUUGAAAGCCUUCUGGUUUUCUUUUUGAUACACUUUCAGCGCUUUCCUCAAAAUCACUUUAUCGUUUUCUCCACUUUUCCAUUGACGUUUCAUGUUGUUAUACAAAUCAUUAAACAACAUGAUUUCCUUAUUCAUCUUCCUCCAUUUCGAGUACGUUUGAUGUUUUGAAUUGUAUUCUCCAUGGUUCAUUCAUUUAUGGAACCUAUGUAAAACGCGAAUCCAAAAGCGGUCAGGCUUUUGGUCUUUUCCAACCAUCGCGUCUUCUGAAAUAUCGGUCCAAGAUUGUGUCAACAAUAACACUUCUAGGGGUUCCCAACAUUUAGCCUCCACCUUCUCUUUUCUUUUAGUUGCUGCUCGAGUGGGCUGAGUUUUUAUAACGAAUUCCGGUUCGGAAUCAGAAACGACCGUUUCUGGUUAUGUUUGUGUUUGUUGAACAAACUCGGGUUGAGACAAAAAAAUCGAAUUGAUUAAAAUCUGUGUCGGGUUGUGGUAGUGGUUGUGUUGAUCGUUGUGGAAAAUACGAAAGCAUACCGCCAUAGUGGUAAAACGGAGGUGAAAAAAUCGGUUGAUCAAAUGAAUUUUUUCUAACGGGUGUUUUUUUCUUUGCUGGGCCUUGUGGAAGAAGACAUUUUCAAAAAAAAUUGGAGGAAAAGAGAGUAAAAGUGUAAGGAUUUUGGUUGAAUGUUAUGUAAAAAAAUUGUAAGUAUAUAUAUAGAGUAAAGUAAAAAUAAAAAAAUAAAAUAAAUAAAAUAAAAAUAAUAAAUUAAAUUCAGACGCAAGGACCGUUCAGCGGUCAAAGAUGCAACAACCAAUCACAGCACGCGGUCUUUUCUAGCCACACUGCGGCCAAAACCGCAGGAAACCGCACCCAGGGGGCGGUGUUUGCAGUCCAGGUGGCAUGAAUGCGGUUACAAACCGCAGCCCACUCCCAGCAGCCUUAGAUUUUUCGAACUUCUAGACAGUCGUCAAGACCUGUCCUCAAAACUAUCACCUUGUCCUUAAGUUGAUGUUCAUGGAAAAAAAAAAAAAAACUAUUUGUGUUUAUAUCCUCUAUCAAACAUUAACUCUGCUUGAUGUUGAAACAUUUGUAAUUGAUAGGACAAACUGAGCCUUGAGUAAUUGACCAUUCCCAAACCGUGUCUGAAGUUGUAAAAUUCCUUUAACCCAUCAACAAUCUUGAUUGCAACAUUCUUUUCUACAAUUGUCGAGCACCCUUGUGAUAUUAUCAUUUUAACCUCUUCUAAAUUUCGAACAUCACUAAGAAGCAUGUCUCCCUUUCUUCAACUUCAACGUCACUGGAAGAGCUAAAAUUAAUAUAAAGAUUAUUAGGGUUAAUGAAUUGUACCUUGAGCAUAAAUUCUGGUUUUUUCUUAAUAACUAAAUUAGCUACCCCGUCCUCUGAAUCAACUAGCUUCUCAUCUUCUUCACCCACAAUAAUUGUUUUGAUUUACUCUUUUCUUGGCAGCAAGAUCUUCUGAUGCCCUCGAAUUCAGAUUAGAAAGUAGAAAUGAUCCACGACUUCAUCUAUAUCGUUUUCUAGCCCAAUUUCUCUAUUUCUUUCCUUUUAUUCUUGAACUCCAUUGCAGGUUUGUAUCUCUAGUAGGUUCCAUUUGAAUGAAAACAAAGUAUUAUCUUCAAAAGGUCAGUCCGCCCUCCAAGUGUUUGAUGAAAUGUCUGAAAGAAGUGAAUAUUGAUUCAAGAAUUUGAUUUCUUCGAAUAAAUCUGUUUCAUGUGUUUGAUCUUGAUUUCUAAUUCUUGAUUUUUCUUCUGACCUCACUGUAUGAUUGUGUUUUGCCGCCAACACUUUGUCCUAAUUCUUCCCAACUACAAAUCGAUCUUCUGUUGUGCUCAGUUCAUAACAACCUACAAACUUUCAUCAUUGUACGAUUGAUUUAGGGAAACAUAUUGAUCAACUUUCAAAAUCCAUAUGGAUUUGAGCCAACAAAUAUAGAUAUCUCUAAUUGUUUACCUAAGAUAGCAGAAAUUAGUUUUGGUUCUUGAAUUGUCCUCUGUUUCUUGAUCUUUCUCCAUCUUUAAAUGGUAAUCAAUCUCUUUUAUUUGAUUCUUUUUUAAUUUGAUUGAGAUGGUUAAAUUGUUGCAGAAUUUCUUGUAACAUUCCCUCCAAUUCCAUGGAUUCAAAUGUGAAACCUAUCCUUGAUUGUGGAUUCAUGCAUUUGCUUUGCUUUUGUGGAUUGUAAUUUUGUUAUUCCGCCUUCAUUUCCCUCCAUGUGAUUGUUUGUUAAUCUUAUUUCCAUGGUGAAUCAAAACUGCUCUUAUACCAUUUGAUGCAUAUUACAAAAUUAAUGCUACUCGACUUCCCUCCCUUUAUACUCAUUCCAUCCAAGUCUAACAGAAUUUCCCUCCCAUAUAUGGCUAGUUAACUAACAACUUUGACUCAUUAACUUUGACUUUCCUGGUUGAUGAAAAAUUUCCCUCUUCUAGACACCCGGCUCAUCAUUAUGGUGCACAGUUUUGGUAAACUCUUCUUUUUAACUGUUUGUUAUGAAACAUUUUCUAAAAUAUAUUUGUUUUAUGAUGGAGUGCAAUUAAUGAUUCCAAGUUAUAUUCAGAAUAGAAAUCAACUUCUGGUUCUAAGCUUUUGAAAGAAUCAUCAUUUUAGUUCACUUCCCAUUACCUAUAUUGCAUGUUUUCAUUUCCAUUUUGAUGUAACAUCCUCAAAUGUUGGAGGAAUUUGUAAUAAAUGAUGAAUUGUUAAUGCUAAGUAAUGACAUUUAACUUAGGUAGGGUAUUAUUUUAAUGUAACAAUGUUGAUUUUCUGAGUUGAACAUUGAUUUACCGAUGAACAAAUAAGGCCAGUGAAACGUUUUAUUAAUUAUAGACAUAACUUCAUGUUCGCAGCGGGGGAUUAGUUGGUACGUGAAAGCUGGUCUGGAAACCCUCGUUAGAAAAGUUCCCUUUCCAAUAAAAAAAAAUAAGAAAAAACUUUCUAAAAUAUAAACUUUUUAUGAUGCCUUAUUUCACACAGCAGUGAAAAUGGCCACCCGUGGUGUUGGUGGCAAUUUUAUUGAUAAAUGGGACUUAAAAACCCAUGCCAAAUACAAAAAUGAAACAUGGUUUUACAUGACUAUCUAUGUUCUAUCUUUUUUGUAAAUUUGCAAUGAACACCACCACCUUCACAUAAACCCAAUCUUUGAAGCUAUCAAGAAACAUAAAAAAAGCAUAUCUUCCACGGCGGUUGAGGAGCAAAGCACCACAUGCUAUCCAAAAUCCAAUACAUGAAGUUCGUCUACACCUUCACCCUCACCCUCACUUUCACCAAUGUUGUGUUGUAUUUCCGAUUCUUCAUCUAGAGGACAUUUUUUGGUAAGGGGAGGUCCGCAUAGCCCUAAGUUCCCUUUGUAUCUUGAAGGAUCAAAGGACUGAAGUUGUGUGCUGGAUGGGAUUCUCCCUGACAGGUUAUUACACGACACGUCUAGGUAACUCAAUAAGGUCAUUUGAGACAUGGUUGAGGGUAUUUCUCCUAAAAACUUGUUUCUAGAUAAAUCCAAAGUUAAAAGAUUUUUCAUCUCACUGAUGUUCCAUGGAAUCUUUCCAUAUAGAGCAUUCUUUGAUAGGUUGAGUGCAAUCAGUUCAUCAAGAUUGGUAAUCUGAUAUGGGAUUUCCCCUGUUAAGUUGUUGCUUGACAGGUCGAUGCUCCUCAACAAUACCAUAUUACUUCUGACGAAUUCACGUUCAACUCCUUGCCACUGGAUCAUCACAUGGUCAACAUUAUACGAAUAUACUGAAACUCCACGUUCUAAAUUUUGUACUUGAGGGAAACCUUGUUGCACCAUGAUGGUAAGAUUACUCAAACAUGAGGGUAUGGUUCCAUGGAAAUGGUUAACCGACAAGUCUAGAAUUUGAAGACUUGCUAAUUGACAUAAUUGUAAAGGGAUGCUUCCAGAGAAGUUGUUCGAUCUUAACAUAAGAACAUACAACCCAGAUAAGCUUUCCCCGAUCCAAACAGGCAAAUUUCCAGAAAACUUGUUGGCACCCAAAUUCAAUGAUUUUAAGCUCGUGCAAUUCUUAACAGACAAAGGAAAUUCUUCGGAGAAAUCAUUCUUGUAUAAAUCCAAUGCCUCGAGCUUAAUCAUAGAUCCAACAGAAGCAGGAAGCCUUCCAGACAGAUUAUUGUGUUCUAAAUUAAGAACUUUUAGUUCUUUGAAAUGCCACAAGCAGUUUGGAAUUUGUCCGCUUAGAUAGUUAUGAGAGAGGUCAAGUAUAACUAAAAAGCCAUGGAUAACCUCACAUAAAAAGGAGAUUCCUCCAGAAAAUUUAUUUCUGGAAAGAUUUAGUAAUGCCACAGUGGAAGAGACAUUAGUUAUUAGACCAUCAAAGCUGUUGGAGCUUAAAUCUAUCACUGAAUUGUUGUAAAAUAUUGAUGACAGAUCUGGUACUUUCCCACUUAUGUUGUUGGAAGAAAGAUUCAGGAAUGUUAACCGGGAUGGCCACGAGCCCCAAAACUCGACAGGAAUAGUAUCUGAAAUACCAUUAUUUGCAAUAUCAAGACUGGUAAGGUUUUUCAACUUUUGAAUCCAUUUGGGGAAGUGAGGCCCUAGCUUGCAAGAGCUUAGUUGAAUAGAUUCUAUAUGAGAAUGGUUUGACAUGUAAUCUGAGGAAGGAAAUCCAUGGAGUGAGUUUUUGGAUAGAUCAAGAUAUUUAAGGUUGGGCAGUUCCCACAGUUUCUUACUUAUAGUUCCUUUUAAUUGAUUCGUAGAGAGAAACAGAUAUGUUAGGGAUGUAAACUUUUGGAUCUCAUCCGGCAAUGACCCUGUAAAUUGGUUGUUGGAAGCAACUAACAAUUGUAAUGAAAGCGAUGUGCAUCCAGACAAGUUGUUGAGAAAAUCAGGAAAAGUGACAACAGCAGAGUUCCUAUCAAAUCUCAAACUUACCAAACUACAGAGGUUACCAAGAUAUUUGGGUAUCCCAUCUAACAUGUUGCCAGAGAGAUCAAGAUAUAUAAGGCUAUUGCUGGUUAAUGGGAACAACCAACGAUACAUGGAUGAGGUGAGACUGUUGUUUUCAAGAUAAAGGACUUCAAUAGAUGAAGAA
Molecule: long non-coding RNA, 15358 nt
Filed under: Lactuca sativa (garden lettuce)
Lineage: Eukaryota; Viridiplantae; Streptophyta; Magnoliopsida; Asterales; Asteraceae
Description: long non-coding RNA (LSAT_LNC006485)
Source: RNAcentral